AAUGAAAUGCCUGAUAAAAAGGGUUAUUUUGAUAGAAUAAUUAAUGAAAUAUAUUAAUUUCUUUCAUUA
Molecule: transfer RNA, 69 nt
Filed under: Syrista parreyssii
Lineage: Eukaryota; Metazoa; Arthropoda; Insecta; Hymenoptera; Cephidae
Description: tRNA-Ile
Source: RNAcentral